This 233-nucleotide ribosomal RNA is filed under the name uncultured bacterium. Its description in RNAcentral is "partial 16S ribosomal RNA". It matches the Rfam family "Bacterial small subunit ribosomal RNA", at positions 103 to 334 of the family's 1533-position model. The record is from RNAcentral.
CGGGUGAGUAACGCGUGAGGAACCUGCCUCAAAGAGGGGGACAACAGUUGGAAACGACUGCUAAUACCGCAUAAGCCCACGGCUCGGCAUCGAGCAGAGGGAAAAGGAGUGAUCCGCUUUGAGAUGGCCUCGCGUCCGAUUAGCUGGUUGGUGAGGUAAUGGCCCACCAAGGCGACGAUCGGUAGCCGGACUGAGAGGUUGAACGGCCACAUUGGGACUGAGACACGGCCCAG